ACCUGGGUGGCUCAGUCGGUUAAGCAUCCGACUUUGGCUCAGGUUAUGAUCUCAUGGUUUGUGGGUUCAAACCCCACAUCAGGCU
This 85-nucleotide transfer RNA is filed under the name Felis catus (domestic cat). It matches the Rfam family "tRNA". From Rfam's summary of the family: Transfer RNA (tRNA) molecules are approximately 80 nucleotides in length. Their secondary structure includes four short double-helical elements and three loops (D, anti-codon, and T loops). RNAcentral also lists the same sequence under 2 other names. The record is from Rfam by way of RNAcentral. Lineage: Eukaryota; Metazoa; Chordata; Mammalia; Carnivora; Felidae.